CGCGUAGGCGGAUCGACCAGUCAGGGGUGAAAUCCCGGGGCUCAACCUCGGAACUGCCUUUGAUACUGUCGAUCUAGAGUCUGUGAGAGGGUGGCGGAAUACCCAGUGUAGAGGUGAAAUUCGUAGAUAUUGGGUAGAACACCAGUGGCGAAGGCGGCCACCUGGCGCAGAACUGACGCUGAAGGCGCGAAAGCGUGGGGAGCAAACA
This 208-nucleotide ribosomal RNA is filed under the name uncultured bacterium. Its description in RNAcentral is "partial 16S ribosomal RNA". It matches the Rfam family "Bacterial small subunit ribosomal RNA", at positions 568 to 774 of the family's 1533-position model. The record is from RNAcentral.